Molecule: long non-coding RNA, 1284 nt
Organism: Venturia canescens
Lineage: Eukaryota; Metazoa; Arthropoda; Insecta; Hymenoptera; Ichneumonidae
Exons: 2
Source: RefSeq, a predicted model, not a curated record
CUGAAAAUUUAACUGAUUUUUUUUUUUACACUUCACUUUAUAAGAUGCAAUCGGUUUAAAAGCGGUGACAUCAUUUUCAUUCUAAUGCCUCAACUUCCUUAAGGAUUCAAGUAUAUACGAGACGGCCGCGUGCACCGGGCGAUCGGUUGAAAUACCCAUAGCCACGAAUCUAAUGCUCCGAUCUUUAUGAAAUUUAUUGGAAUCUCCGCGUGAAAAAGCUCGUACAAGUGUGCUUGUGACUUUUGCCAUUGACGCGUGUAACAGCAGGAAGAAGACCAAAAGAGAGCUAUCGGUCCCUUCAACGAAGCUUGAGUAAAAUAAAUUGCCGAAUGACACGAGAGUGUACCUGACUCAUCCAGAAGGGCGGAGGAACAGUCAUUUUUCUAACUGUCUCUUUUACGAUCACGCAAUCGAAUGUACCACUUUAAUGCGGAAGCUUAAAAAUGUCGGAGUAAGCUAUUUUGGAGUAUCGAAGUGGUCGGAUAUGGAACCUCGUUGAUUUCGACCGAGUUGGAACUUGUUUGGAGAACAAUUAAUCGCUUUGUGAGGACGAAACAAUAAAAAAUGCAUCGAGUCGGAUGUUUCUCGAAUGCACAUCAAAUGACUGUUUUGCUGAAAUCAAUUAACAAAAGCUUGCCAGUGAGCCCCACUCGCUGAACCGUAGUCGCACUUUGCAGUUGCCUCGCAUCAGUAAUUUCCUUCCAAAGCAUAUUUCCACGAAAAACCAGCACGCUCGGCCAACUCUCAUACAAGUUUAGUGCUCCAGUUGCACCGAUGACGGUUCAAACGCGCGCGAGGAAAUGAUUUGUCGCAGUCCCGGUCCCAUCUCCCAUGGGCUCGUCCAGCGCAACGUUCGAAACGACAUUUUCUCUCUCUUUCUCUUUCACUCCGCUUUUCUCUCUUGUUCAAAUGAACUCUCCGGGCCAUUGUGUCCAUUGCGGAAACGCGUCGUCACUCGAUCCACAAUUCCCAAUCGUUGUUCACUCAGCCAUGAAACACCAGCAGAAAACACGUUUCGAACGUUUGUGCUCACUAACAAUUAUCAGUUUUCUCUCGAUGAGCGAGAAAUGCAUCAAACGAAACGAGCAACAAUCGCAUUUGUCAUUUAUACACUUUGAUCGACAUCCGCUCGCCAGAGGUCCUUUUUACGCUGCGAGCUCACAUUCGACCUCGAAACAUGGAAAGCCUCUUCGUCUUACCAACGUGAAUUUAGUUUCUGCUUUUCAAUUUACAUGAAAAAAUGAUAAUUGUGUACUUUUAGAUGAAUAAAUAACUGUUCCGCAA